Molecule: non-coding RNA, 26 nt
Filed under: Rattus norvegicus (Norway rat)
Lineage: Eukaryota; Metazoa; Chordata; Mammalia; Rodentia; Muridae
Source: RNAcentral
GGAUAUUCUGAGAUCCUUUUGCUUUU